GAUAAUAAUAAUUGAAUAUAUAUAUAUUUAUUUUUUAUAAAAUAAGUUUAAUAAUAAAAUUGUUUUAGUAAAAUUUUUAACUAAUUGAAAUUUAAUUAUAGAAUUUGUAAGGUAACUGAAAAUUAAUAAAUAUAAAUAUAAUUAAAAAAGUAAAUUUUAUUAAUUUUACCUUUUGUAUCAGGGAUAAUUAAACUAAAAAUUUAUUAUUUUAAUUUAUCUCGAAAAGAAAAGAGCUAAUUAAUUAUGAUUGUUAGUAUUGCAUAACUAUAAUUAAUAGUUAAUUAUGAGUGAAAUGCUAAUAGUUUUUUUUGUUAUCUAGUUUUUAAAGAAAUAAAUUCAAUUUAGGUACAAAAUAUAAUUUAUAUAAAUAUUUAAUUUUAUAUAAUUUUUUGUACUAAAUAUUUAAGGGAUAAACUUUAAAUAUAUUUUAUAAAUAAUUGUAAUUAAAUUUGUAAGAUCAUAUAAUUUAAAAUUUUAAUUGAUAAUUUGUAUAUUAUAAUUUACUUACAUUAAAAAUAAAAUUUGCAUUUAAUUUUAAAUUGAUUAUUUAAAAACUAAUUUUAAUUUUUAAAAUUAGAAUAAAAUGAUUAUAUUAGUAUAAAUAUAUUUUAUUAAGUAUAAUAAAAUAUAUAAUUAUUUUUAUUAAGGAACUCGACAAAUAUUGUUUAUGUAACGUUUAAGUCCACCUGUUUAUCAAAAACAUGUCUUUUUGAAUUAUAAUUUUAAGUCUGUUCUGCUCAAUGUAUAACUAUAUAAAUAGCCGCAGUAUACUUGACUGUGCAAAGGUAGCAAAAUCAUUAGCUUUCUAAUUAAGAGCUUGUAUGAACGAAUGAAUGAGAUUUAUAUUGUCUCAAUAAAAUAAUUAAAAGUUAAACUUUCAGUAAAAAUGCUGAAAUUUUUUUAAGGGACGAGAAGACCCUGUAGAAUUUUACAUUUUAAUUAUUGUUGAAGAUUUGGUUAUUGUAUUUAUACAAAAUAAUUUUGCAUUAAUUAAUAAUGUUUUGCUGGGGAAGCUUCUGAAUUUAAUUAACUUCAGAGUAUAAUUAUUAUUAACAAUUAUAAUUGAAAUUAAUGAAACAAUUUUUUAGUUAAUAGAAAAAUUACCUCAGGGAUAACAGCGUAAUAUUUUUUUUAAGAUCAUAUUUAAAAAAAUGAUUGCGACCUCGAUGUUGAAUUAAGAUAAAAGUUAAAUCGCAUAAGUUUAAUAUUUAAGUCUGUUCGACUUUUAAAAUCUUACAUGAUUUGAGUUCAGAUCGACGUAAGUCAGAUCGGUUUCUAUCUUUAAAUAUUAUAAAAUAAUUUUGUACGAAAGGAUCAAUUAUUUGAAAAAUUUUCUUUAUUUUGAAUAAAAAUAAUUU
This 1358-nucleotide ribosomal RNA is filed under the name Megacampsomeris sp. 1 YJY-2023a. Its description in RNAcentral is "16S ribosomal RNA". Lineage: Eukaryota; Metazoa; Arthropoda; Insecta; Hymenoptera; Scoliidae. The record is from RNAcentral.